This 498-nucleotide ribosomal RNA is filed under the name uncultured Glomeromycotina. Its description in RNAcentral is "partial small subunit ribosomal RNA". It matches the Rfam family "Eukaryotic small subunit ribosomal RNA", at positions 591 to 1092 of the family's 1831-position model. The record is from RNAcentral. Lineage: Eukaryota; Fungi; Glomeromycota.
CCAAUAGCGUAUAUUAAAGUUGUUGCAGUUAAAAAGCUCGUAGUUGAAUUUCGGGAUCAAGUCGUCGGUCGUGCUCAGGUACGUACUGGCGUCAUUGAUUUCUCCCUUCUGACGAACCAUGAUGUCAUUAAUUUGGUGUUAUGGGAAAUCAGGACUGUUACUUUGAAAAAAUUAGAGUGUUUAAAGCAGGCUCACGCUUGAAUACAUUAGCAUGGAAUAAUGAAAUAGGACGUUCGAUCCUAUUUUGUUGGUUUUAGGAUCAACGUAAUGAUUAAUAGGGAUAGGUGGGGGCAUUAGUAUUCAAUUGUCAGAGGUGAAAUUCUUGGAUUUAUUGAAGACUAACUACUGCGAAAGCAUUUGCCAAGGAUGUUUUCAUUAAUCAAGAACGAAAGUUAGGGGAUCGAAGACGAUCAGAUACCGUCGUAGUCUUAACCAUAAACUAUGCCGACUAGGGAUCGGAUGAUGUUAAUUUUUUAAUGACUCAUUCGGCGCCUUACG